This 152-nucleotide ribosomal RNA is filed under the name Methanobrevibacter sp. AbM4. The record is from RNAcentral. Lineage: Archaea; Methanobacteriati; Methanobacteriota; Methanobacteria; Methanobacteriales; Methanobacteriaceae.
GCUUAGCGGUCAUAGUGACAGGGCUACACCUGAUCUCGUUUCGAUCUCAGAAGUAAAGUCUGUUACGUUUUGUUUAGUACUGUGGAGAUAUCUACGGGAGUUUCAUUUCGCUGCUAGCUUUUUUUUAUAGAUUAUUAUAUAACAUUGUUAUA